CCUACGGGUGGCAGCAGUGGGGAAUAUUGGACAAUGGGGGGAACCCUGAUCCAGCCAUGCCGCGUGUGUGAAGAAGGCCCUCGGGUUGUAAAGCACUUUCAGUGAGGAAGAACGCCUGGUGGUUAAUACCCAUCAGGAAAGACAUCACUCACAGAAGAAGCACCGGCUAACUCCGUGCCAGCAGCCGCGGUAAUACGGAGGGUGCGAGCGUUAAUCGGAAUUACUGGGCGUAAAGCGCGCGUAGGUGGCUUGAUAAGCCGGUUGUGAAAGCCCCGGGCUCAACCUGGGAACGGCAUCCGGAACUGUCAAGCUAGAGUGCAGGAGAGGAAGGUAGAAUUCCCGGUGUAGCGGUGAAAUGCGUAGAGAUCGGGAGGAAGACCAGUGGCGAAGGCGGCCUUCUGGACUGACACUGACACUGAGGUGCGAAAGCGUGGGUAGCAAACAGGAUUAGAUACCCUAGUAGUC
Molecule: ribosomal RNA, 465 nt
Filed under: Vreelandella stevensii
Lineage: Bacteria; Pseudomonadati; Pseudomonadota; Gammaproteobacteria; Oceanospirillales; Halomonadaceae
Description: partial 16S ribosomal RNA
Rfam family: Bacterial small subunit ribosomal RNA
Source: RNAcentral